RNAcentral lists this transfer RNA (76 nucleotides) under Gemmatimonadota bacterium. RNAcentral describes it as "Gemmatimonadetes bacterium tRNA-Thr". It matches the Rfam family "tRNA". Rfam says of the family: Transfer RNA (tRNA) molecules are approximately 80 nucleotides in length. Their secondary structure includes four short double-helical elements and three loops (D, anti-codon, and T loops). RNAcentral also lists the same sequence under 2 other names. The record is from RNAcentral. Lineage: Bacteria; Pseudomonadati; Gemmatimonadota.
GCCGCUUUAGCUCAAUUGGUAGAGCACCUGAUUUGUAAUCAGGCGGUUGUGGGUUCAAGUCCCAUGAGCGGCUCCA